CUCUGAGUUUUAAGUGUUUUCUCGUGCUCACGGUGACUCAGGAAUCCAUUAUCACGGUGCUCUCGUGCCUUCACGGAAAACAGCAGCACAAGAUGGAGAGCCGUGGCAGGAGGCCCGAGCGUCUUCGCUGCUCUGCUAAAUGGUGUGGAGCUUCAGCAAACAGCUUAAUCUCCCUGGGUUCCUGUUCCUUCCAAAUAUGAACCAGAGGAUUUGACCUAGAUUAGCAGCUUUCAAAAUGCACUCUCAGGGCCACUGGGGGGUUCUGUGAGAACGUAAGCAGGGCACGGGUCCAGACGCCUCUCCACCUAUGCGGCACCCGGAGUCUCCAGGUGACCUGAUUGCAUCCCAGCCGGCCCAGCACACUUGGAGGAUGGGAAACUAACGGCUGUCUGUGGACUUAAAUUCUGUUUGUCUUCCCCGACGACUACUAACUUUCACAGUGAAGGGAGGUGUUGCUAAGGCCGCUGUGAGAGAGAAAACACACCAGCCCUACACCCUGCAUCCCACAAAGCCAACCUGCCGGACAAGGCAUGGCCACUGCACAAUAGUGAUCCCCAGACCGACAGCUGUUCUAAGAGUAAGGCUUGAGUAUACACCCUAGUUCUGCUGCUGCUGACUGAAGCUAGCUGCUGAUUUGUCUACCUGGGAUAACUCCCUGAAAUGGCACAGAGAAUCCCUGCGGAUUAUUUCCUUGGGCAGCUCUACCUAGGAGAAGCCCCCUAGGAGCAGAUCCUGAUGGCUGUAAUUGGAAGUAUUCACUGAGGAACUGGAUGCUUAUUAACUACAAUAGCAAUGUGCAGCACAGCAAAACUUCAAUAAGUAAGUGGCAUGUUUUAAGUAGAUUUAAAACAAAGACAGGAAUUAAAAGGACCCUUCGAUAGAACACGAGCGUGAAAUUGAGAAGAACACAGAGGUACAUUAACGAUGAGAAGGAGCUCUCCAUGAAGCGGGUUAAGGUCUAGGAAACAAAAAGCUACAGCUAGCAGAGCCGGAGUGCUGAUACUCGUGGAGAUUUCUAAUCGGAAGACUUGGCUUCCUACGUCGUCAUCGGGGACAAGAGAUUGACUCAGAAACGAAGACGACAGCUCAGUGCGGUCUCCGCUGGGAGUGAUUCCCAAGAUCCCAUCUGCAGAUUAUGUUGUGGACAUUGGUUUUUCCUGGGAAAGGUCUGCGGAGUCAGUCCCAGGGCUCCAGUCUGCCCCUUGGAAAGGCUCACGGGGUGAACGAAGCUGGAUCUGUUCCACUCUUUCACAGCUCCGCAUGUGUGAGAAUCUCUCUGCUAUCUUGCUCUGGAAGAACUUGGUGCCUCAGAGCUGAUUUUUUUUUUUAAACAAUUUAAAAAAGAUGAAGUUAUCUGAGAUGCACCUGAACUUUCCCCUCAUCGCCUCACCACAUUUCUUUUGACUGAUUCACUGGGAUUCAGUGGCCUAACAAUGGGUGGGACAUUACCCCAGCAUGCUAUUCCUUACCAUUAAUGUAGUAAAAAAAAGAUAAAAAAAUGUAAGUCUUUGAUCUGUGAGCCUGUGUAAAAUGUCCAAGUCCUUAACAAGUAUUUUCUCAUUUCUCUAGUUUUCAAAUAUUGUGUAAUUAUAGACUUAUUGUGA
This is a long non-coding RNA of Peromyscus leucopus (white-footed mouse), 1604 nucleotides long. RefSeq lists it as uncharacterized. Lineage: Eukaryota; Metazoa; Chordata; Mammalia; Rodentia; Cricetidae. The transcript is spliced from 5 exons. The record is from RefSeq and is a predicted model, not a curated record.